RNAcentral lists this ribosomal RNA (166 nucleotides) under uncultured bacterium. Its description in RNAcentral is "partial 16S ribosomal RNA". It matches the Rfam family "Bacterial small subunit ribosomal RNA", at positions 1327 to 1500 of the family's 1533-position model. The record is from RNAcentral.
UGGAUUCGCUAGUAAUCGCGCAUCAGCCAUGGCGCGGUGAAUACGUUCCCGGGCCUUGUACACACCGCCCGUCAAGCCAUGGGAGCCGGGGGUGCUUGAAGUGCGUCGCCGUGAGGCGCGCCCUAGAGCAAAACCGGUGACUGGGGCUAAGUCGUAACAAGGUAAC